Molecule: ribosomal RNA, 273 nt
Filed under: uncultured Alphaproteobacteria bacterium
Lineage: Bacteria; Pseudomonadati; Pseudomonadota; Alphaproteobacteria
Description: partial 16S ribosomal RNA
Rfam family: Bacterial small subunit ribosomal RNA
Source: RNAcentral
GUACGCUGGCGGCACGCCUAAUACAUGCAAGUCGAACGAAGUAGCAAUACUUAGUGGCAGACGGGUGAGUAACAUGUGGGUAUCUUCCCUUUGGUGAGGAAUAACACGAGGAAACUUGUGCUAAUACCUCAUAAGUCUUUACGGAGAAAGCUUUAUGCGCCAUUGGAUGAGCCUGCACUUGAUUAGUUUGUUGGUGGGGUAAUGGCCUACCAAGACUUUGAUCAAUAGCUGAUUUGAGAGGAUGAUCAGCCACAUUGGGACUGAGACACAGCC